Molecule: ribosomal RNA, 465 nt
Filed under: Vreelandella stevensii
Lineage: Bacteria; Pseudomonadati; Pseudomonadota; Gammaproteobacteria; Oceanospirillales; Halomonadaceae
Description: partial 16S ribosomal RNA
Rfam family: Bacterial small subunit ribosomal RNA
Source: RNAcentral
CCUACGGGGGGCAGCAGUGGGGAAUAUUGGACAAUGGGGGCAACCCUGAUCCAGCCAUGCCGCGUGUGUGAAGAAGGCCCUCGGGUUGUAAAGCACUUUCAGUGAGGAAGAACGCCUGGUGGUUAAUACCCAUCAGGAAAGACAUCACUCACAGAAGAAGCACCGGCUAACUCCGUGCCAGCAGCCGCGGUAAUACGGAGGGUGCGAGCGUUAAUCGGAAUUACUGGGCGUAAAGCGCGCGUAGGUGGCUUGAUAAGCCGGUUGUGAAAGCCCCGGGCUCAACCUGGGAACGGCAUCCGGAACUGUCAAGCUAGAGUGCAGGAGAGGAAGGUAGAAUUCCCGGUGUAGUGGUGAAAUGCGUAGAGAUCGGGAGGAAUACCAGUGGCGAAGGCGGCCUUCUGGACUGACACUGACACUGAGGUGCGAAAGCGUGGGUAGCAAACAGGAUUAGAUACCCCAGUAGUC